RNAcentral lists this ribosomal RNA (433 nucleotides) under uncultured bacterium. RNAcentral's name for it is "partial 16S ribosomal RNA". It matches the Rfam family "Bacterial small subunit ribosomal RNA", at positions 29 to 507 of the family's 1533-position model. The record is from RNAcentral.
AACGAACGCUGGCGGCAUGCCUAACACAUGCAAGUCGAACGAGACCUUCGGGUCUAGUGGCGCACGGGUGCGUAACGCGUGGGAACCUGCCCUUAGGUUCGGAAUAACUCCCCGUAAGGGGUGCUAAUACCGGAUAAUGUCUUCGGACCAAAGAUUUAUCGCCCUUGGAUGGGCACGCGUUGGAUUAGCUAGUUGGUAGGGUAAAAGCCUACCAAGGCGACGAUCCAUAGCUGGUCUGAGAGGAUGAUCAGCCACACUGGGACUGGGACACGGCCCAGACUCCUACGGGAGGCAGCAGUGGGGAAUAUUGGACUAUGGGCGGAAGCCUGAACCAGCAAUGCCGCGUGAGUGAUGAAGGCCUUAGGGUUGUAAAGCUCUUUUACCCGGGAUGAUAAUGACAGUACCGGGAGAAUAAGCUCCGGCUAACUCCGUG